GUGCUUGCUUGGGCUGCACAUAUUCUAAAAUUGGAAGGAUCCAGAAAAGAUUAGCAUGCCCCCUCUGCAAAGAUGACACACAAAUUUAUAAAGCUUUCAAUAUUUAA
Otolemur garnettii (small-eared galago) is the source of this 107-nucleotide non-coding RNA. Lineage: Eukaryota; Metazoa; Chordata; Mammalia; Primates; Galagidae. The record is from Rfam.